CGGUGACAGGUGGUGCAUGGUUGUCGUCAGCUCGUGUCGUGAGAUGUUGGGUUAAGUCCCGCAACGAGCGCAACCCCUAUUGUUAGUUGCCAUCAUUCAGUUGGGCACUCUAGCGAGACUGCCGGUAAUAAACCGGAGGAAGGUGGGGAUGACGUCAAAUCAUCAUGCCCCUUAUGACCUGGGCUACACACGUGCUACAAUGGCUGGUACAACGAGUCGCAAGUCGGUGACGGCAAGCUAAUCUCUUAAAGCCAGUCUCAGUUCGGAUUGUAGGCUGCAACUCGCCUACAUGAAGUCGGAAUCGCUAGUAAUCGCGGAUCAGCACGCCGCGGUGAAUACGUUCCCGGGCCUUGUACACACCGCCCGUCACACCACGAGAGUUUGUAACACCCGAAGUCGGUGAGGUAACCUUUUAGGAGCCAGCCGCCUAAGGUGGGAUAGAUGAUUGGGGUGAAGUCGUAACAAGGUAGCCGUAUCGGAAGGUGCGGCUGGAUCACCUCCUUU
This 504-nucleotide ribosomal RNA is filed under the name Streptococcus suis. Its description in RNAcentral is "bacterial SSU rRNA". It matches the Rfam family "Bacterial small subunit ribosomal RNA", at positions 1029 to 1533 of the family's 1533-position model. The record is from RNAcentral. Lineage: Bacteria; Bacillati; Bacillota; Bacilli; Lactobacillales; Streptococcaceae.